CCUCCUUUUUUUGGCAGGCCCGGGUCUCCCAAUGCCUGGCUCUGUAAUGUCCGGAGGUACAGGAAUGCCCAGCCAGUGUUCUGUCUUCGGUGCCAGUGACUUUGCCAAACAA
This is a small nucleolar RNA of Zootoca vivipara (common lizard), 112 nucleotides long. RefSeq annotates it as small nucleolar RNA SNORA57. The record is from RefSeq and is a predicted model, not a curated record. Lineage: Eukaryota; Metazoa; Chordata; Lepidosauria; Squamata; Lacertidae.